This 954-nucleotide long non-coding RNA is filed under the name Cricetulus griseus (Chinese hamster). RNAcentral describes it as "lncRNA (ENSCGRG00015033390.1)". Lineage: Eukaryota; Metazoa; Chordata; Mammalia; Rodentia; Cricetidae. The record is from RNAcentral.
CGGAAGUGACCAGGCUCUGGACCCUGGCCAAGGGUGGACUGAGAACAGGAGUGGAUCUGCAGGAAAGCAGCCACAGAGCCCGGAUACACACUGUUUCCAGAGGAGUCAUCUUGGCCUUAAGUCCCAGAUGGCCCAGAUUUGAGUUUGGGUCAACAAGUUCUGGCUAUUACAUAGACUGGUCUCUUACAACUUAGCUGACAAUGGAGACUGGGAAACAUUCCAGAUCAAAGACCUAAAUCUUGCCAUCUCUUAAGCGGCUGUCAAGCUAAGAUUGCUACUCAGUCAAGUCCUGCACUUGUGUGUGGGAUGCAAGAGGAAAGGAUGUGAUUUGAACACCACCAUUGCCAGAAGGAUGGAGACAGAGGAAUGACACUCGGGUUCUCAGACCAAUACUCAGGAGGCAGAGCCAAGAGGAUCUGAAGUUGGGGGCCAGCCUCAAAGAGGAGGAGGAAGAGGAGGAGGAGAGUGAGGGAAAGAAGUGGAUGAAGAGAAAGAGGGAGAAGAUGAAGAGAAAGAGGGAGAAGAUGAAGAGAAAGAGGGAGAAGAUGAAGAGAAAGAAUUCUUUUUUAUCACCUCCUACCGUGACCUCUUCACCUCUCCCAGGAUCAUAUGGAAAAUGGGGGUAGCAGGCAGAGUAAAAGAACCCCCGUGAGAAGUGUUGCUGUACACAGAGUCACAAGGAAGGUCUAUGACCGCAGAAUGUGUCUGUCUAUCUUCAAGGGGAUGUAUUUAUCUCAUGACAACUAGCUGGGUGGAUUAAUCAUCAUUUGCUUACAAACUAAUUCCUGCCAAUGGAUAUGGCAGCUGUUUCCACUACUUUUCAGUUGUUCAUAAUAGUGCUGUCUAACCCUUUAUAAACAUGUGUUUACGUGUGUGUUUGUGGGCAUUGACUUGUGUGCACUUGUGUGGCUGCAGGGCCAACAUGCAUUGUGGUAGCUUUGUCAAAAAGUUCCC